RNAcentral lists this transfer RNA (71 nucleotides) under Camelus bactrianus (Bactrian camel). It matches the Rfam family "tRNA". From Rfam's summary of the family: Transfer RNA (tRNA) molecules are approximately 80 nucleotides in length. Their secondary structure includes four short double-helical elements and three loops (D, anti-codon, and T loops). The record is from Rfam by way of RNAcentral. RNAcentral also lists the same sequence under 1 other name. Lineage: Eukaryota; Metazoa; Chordata; Mammalia; Artiodactyla; Camelidae.
UGGGGUAUAGCUCAGUGGCAGAGCGCAUGCUUAGCAUGCAAGAGGUCCUGUGUUCAACCCCAGUUCCUUCA